Long non-coding RNA from Chlorocebus sabaeus (green monkey), 314 nucleotides. RefSeq lists it as uncharacterized. The record is from RefSeq and is a predicted model, not a curated record. Lineage: Eukaryota; Metazoa; Chordata; Mammalia; Primates; Cercopithecidae.
GGCCAAGAGACCAAAGACCCCGGAUGAAAACCUCAGCCCUCUCGCUUUCCAUUAGAGACAUGAUGGAGAAUUUAUUUGGAAACAGCAAAGCAAAAUAAAACGAAGACACUGCGCCCUACUCCUCUGGAUAUAGAACUCACCUCUGCAGCGAGUCUCAUGCCUCUUCACCUGGAUGGACAGAGAAGCAAGGGCAAUUUUCAUCUGUGCUUAAGGUGGUAACUUCUGGGAUGCUACCAAGUUCCUUGCAGUCUUCCUCAUGCUGCCUUCAUUUAAUAAAAUGGACCAGGCACGGUGGCUCACUCCUGUAAUUCCAG